Molecule: non-coding RNA, 3576 nt
Organism: Miniopterus natalensis
Lineage: Eukaryota; Metazoa; Chordata; Mammalia; Chiroptera; Miniopteridae
Source: RefSeq, a predicted model, not a curated record
UUUUUUUGGUGGUGGUGGGAGGGGGAGUUGGGGUAGGGAAGAGGGUAGGAGAUAGAAAGGGCAGUUUUAAGAUGCCCCAGGCCCCAUAGCUGCUGGUGAAUAAACCCCCAUAGGUGGUGAGCAGACCACGGAGAGAGCUGGGCUCGACCAAGGUUUACACUAAACAGCUAUGUUUUCAGGAAGUGGCCUUUUGGAAAGAUCAGGGACUCCUGUGGCUAGAGGAUUAGUGGGGGUGAUACUCAUUCCACAGAGGUUGAAACUUGGGAUCAUGGAGUUUGCUAUUGGAAAGUGAGUGACCCCAAAUUUGGAGCCGCGUCCUGCCUUGGUGACCUAGAGGCAGGCUCUCUGCUGUGUAUCGGUGGCUGCCGCAGUGAGGGGACAGACUUGAUUUCCUACUGGGAAGUGUGUUGGCUUCCCCAGCCUCUCUGAUGAUCAGUGUGGGCCUGGUGUCUGCUACCUCCAUCCUCUCUGAAGGAGCGUGGAGGAGCCCUUCCUCUGUAAGAGCCUUAAGCCUGGCUUGUGUCUUAAAAGGACGCAUUAAUCAUUCUGGGUCUACCCUUUUUUGUUAAUGCCAGGGGAGGGGACAUCUAGCCUUUAAGCAUAAACACUGGCUGACUUUCUCUUGGCUUUUCUCCUGGCUGCUGAGACUUCUCCAGGUAUUUCUGUAUGAUGAACAUACCUUGUCUGUCUGUAGAGCUUCACCACCUACCCGUGGGUCCGCCUCACCGGGCAGCUGCUGCCCCGCCUCCUCCCAGCCCGGAGGCAGCUUAGGCAGGUCACCCCUAGUAGCAGCUGCUCCUGCAGCUCUUCCCACCAGCUCCUUUUCCCUGUUGGAGGGCCUUACACACUCUGGGGUAUUGUCCCUAGAGAAGAGACGAGGAGAUGGCUGAUGGGGAGUGUGCCUGUGUGCGUGUUUGUGCACUGUUCAGUUACACCAAAAGUGGGGCUUCAGGCACUUUCUUUCUCUGUUUUCAUAAGCAUCCUGUCAGACUCGCAACUCUCCUACUCAUAGAAGCCUUAGAUCUACAACUUAGCUAUGCAAAUUAUUUUAAUAAUUUAAAAAUAGCAGUUCCAACCAGCGCACCAAGUUUGGAUGGUGAAUGGACAGAGUUGGAGUGGGCCUUCAGGUUGAGGCUGGUGCAGUAGGAGCUAGCUAGCCCAGGUUUCCAGCUUGCAGAGCACGCUCACAACCUGGGCUACAGCUGAUGCCUCUAAGGCCCUGGAGCACUGGGAUCCCAGAGGGGGGGUGUGUGUGUGUGUGUGUGUGGGUGUGGGUGGGUGUGUGUGGGUGGGUGUACACGUGUGCACGCGCGUCUGGGAAGAGGUAAUUUUGUGUGCACCUCUANAAACUCACAGCAGCAGGUUCUGAGAAUCCAGAAACUAUCCCAGCAAGGAACUGAAAGCAGCCCCUGGAGGGAUGGGUAUUCUGAGAGGCAGCACAUGCCUGCUCUCCACCCAGGGCUUCCAGGGUCUGGGUCUGUAGUUUUGGGAGGCUAGACCUGGCUAGAGAAGGCUUUGAUCUGUGCAGCUUGUACUGUUCAGGCAUUUGGGGGUGGGAUCAUGGGAAACUGGAGUACUGCCAGUUCCGUGUUGUUUUUAUGAACGUGGUAGCACCUCUGACCUUCCUGCAGUCUCGGUGCGUGCCGGUGUGUGCACCACGCAGGAGCAUGUGUGUGAGGGAAGCAGGGACCGUCUCAGCCUGAGCACCAGGUCCUGCAGCUUCUUUGAUCAGACACACUUGGUGGUGGCUUCCACCGUGAGGGAAGGAUGGUGACAGGCGGGAGGGCAGAUCAGGCCUGGGCGUUUUCCCUCCCUCUCGUCUUCCACAGGAAGCUUUCAAAGGCCUCCCAAGCCCCAUCCAGCUGGUUUCGCCUGAAUUCUCAGCGAGGGAAUAUAGCACAACUUGAUUCAGGAUCACCUUGUGUAGUGAUGUUCCAUUUCCUUUCCUUAGUAUCUUUGUGGAGAAGAAUUGAACAGAGACAAAGUAGCCACUUAAGUGAACCGUGUUGGAUCAGAUCUCUCUCCAGAUUGAAUGUUUGCAAAGCCCUCACCCUCUCGAGUUGUGCGUAAGCAUCUUUCUCGUCAUCUGCUGGUUUCGGGAUAACUCCGGUCCUUGGAACUCUCUUCCCUAGGAAUUAGUGUAUGAAAUUUAUAUACUUGUGAUUCACAAAUACGAAAUUUCCCACCCCAGCGCCUGAAGCAAAGCUAGGGUACAUUUUGCUGAUAGGUUGAAACACUCAACCAAACUUGAGGCAUCUGGGAGGGACUGUCCUUCCCCACGUUGUUAGCAGGGCACGGCCCCUGCCCGUCCGUUCAGGCCUGGCGCUGCUCUGGAACCGAGCCCCUUCCCAUGUGGAAGAUCUCCUGGGGGCGUUACAUUCCUUGUUCCUAGUGUUCCCGGCCAUGACCCCCUUCCUCCUCCCAGUUCCUCCGAAGACCAGUCUUUCUUCUGAACCGUGGCCUCCUGUACAGCCAGCUAAUGGCUCUUCUCCCACCAAAACCCCUGAGAGAGGAGCUGCUUUCCCCAGUGGACCCCCAGGAGACUUUCUGGCCCCCUGCUGUCUGUUCCAAGGAACCCGCACCUCGAGGCCUGUCUGGGAAUUCUUUGCUGCGUCACCCUCACCCUCGUCCCCUUGUACUGCGCCUCUCUUCUGCCCUGAGUACUCCACUGUCGCCCCUUAAUGUCUGUCUGUGCCACUAGCUUGGCCCUGGGCCUUUUAUGAGUACCCACGUCUUAGAUGAGCUUCCUGAGCAGGUGGCGUCCAACUUCUCUGCUCUUCAGGGACCUGAGUCUGCCUGUGUGACCUAGUACUCAGUGCAUCUGCAUCGGGAGGGGUAGCCAGGCAGGCUGCAGGGUCUGUGGGGCAGAGGCUGGGAGAGAUUGGGGUACUUCCUGUUACCACUACUGGGGUGAUCUUCAGAAGAGGGGCGACCUCAUACUGUGACCUGACCCAGGACCCUCCCCUGGGAGAGAGCUCAGCCCAGGUGUGUGUGUGUGAGUGUGAGUGAGAGUGUGAGCAUGCACACACGCCUGCUCGUGUGCACGUGAGUGUAAACUGACUUGUCUGGUUGUUACUCAGGGUGGGCUGGGGACUCACCGGAAGAAUCCCCUUAGCCUGCUCAAGACUGGUUUUUUCCUGUGCCCUCUCCAGAGGGGUCAGGGGAAGGAGGUCCAGGUGGGUUGAGGGGGUUGCAGUGGAUAACCACUAAGUCCACAUCGCUGCCAGGAGGAGUGGGGGGAGAUGAGGUGGCCCCAGGGACCUGGCACCCGGCUUUGGUUUUCCGUCUUCUUUCCUCAGGACGCCCCCUGAGGCCUGGACUGCACCUGGCUUUGAGGAGCACCUGUGGCUGGUGCUCUAGCUGCGGGUGUGGUCAUGGGCUUCCCUCCUCGGUAGGGCAGGUGCUCCUGCCCCAGAGACUGGGCAACUGGCUGUUUCUAUGACGUAUUUAUUUUUACUUGUGUUUCAUGUCACUUUUUUAAAAAAAGCAAACAGAACAAUUGUAAGUCAGUAUAACUGCCUAUCAGUUUUCUUUAUUUCUCUUUUUGUAAAAUAAAAUUUAAACUCAAGAAGGCAA